RNAcentral lists this ribosomal RNA (510 nucleotides) under uncultured bacterium. RNAcentral describes it as "partial 16S ribosomal RNA". It matches the Rfam family "Bacterial small subunit ribosomal RNA", at positions 28 to 507 of the family's 1533-position model. The record is from RNAcentral.
GACGAACGCUGGCGGCGUGCUUAACACAUGCAAGUCGAACGAAGAGCGAUGGAAGCUUGCUUCUAUCAAUCUUAGUGGCGAACGGGUGAGUAACGCGUAAUCAACCUGCCCUUCAGAGGGGGACAACAGUUGGAAACGACUGCUAAUACCGCAUACGAUCUAAUCUCGGCAUCGAGGAUAGAUGAAAGGUGGCCUCUACAUGUAAGCUAUCACUGAAGGAGGGGAUUGCGUCUGAUUAGCUAGUUGGAGGGGUAACGGCCCACCAAGGCGAUGAUCAGUAGCCGGUCUGAGAGGAUGAACGGCCACAUUGGGACUGAGACACGGCCCAGACUCCUACGGGAGGCAGCAGUGGGGAAUCUUACGCAAUGGACGAAAGUCUGACGGAGCAACGCCGCGUGAGUGAUGACGGCCUUCGGGUUGUAAAGCUCUGUUAAUCGGGACGAAAGGCCUUCUUGCGAAUAGUGAGAAGGAUUGACGGUACCGGAAGAGAAAGCCACGGCUAACUACGUG